UCCUUUUAGGUGUGAUAGUUCU
Molecule: non-coding RNA, 22 nt
Filed under: Arabidopsis thaliana (thale cress)
Lineage: Eukaryota; Viridiplantae; Streptophyta; Magnoliopsida; Brassicales; Brassicaceae
Source: RNAcentral